GGUGUCAUUACCUGGUUAACGUGUAUUCCCUGAGUCCUGAAUGAAGAUUCAUGGCUGAGAAGGUCCCAAUGCAGCCACGAAGCCGCUUGUCCCGCCCUGUCUUCCACGUCACAAAGAGCGGACUAAAAAAAGCAAAACACAAAACAUUCUCCAGCCCCAAAUUAAUCAUGGAUAAGAACAAAACCUUUUGGCUUUGUCCCUAUUCAUUUCUGUUAUUGCCAAAAAUCCCUGUUUUUGGACUUGCCAGCUACCCGAAGGACUCUCUGCCUUUCUGAAAACGGCACAGCCCCUGGCUGGAAACGGGAAACCUACAAGGCAGCAUAAGGAAAGGCUCCGUGUAGUGGUUCCCAUGUUCCAUGCUGACAGCUUUAAUUCACUUUGCCGCCAAAUUUACAUGCUACUUUCCUCUUUCUCUGCCCAAGACUCAACUUUUCCUUCGAAUUCUCCAGUUUCCUCUUCCCUAAGUCUAUUUAUCCAGGUAGCCAUGCUCCCCCGCUCCGUCUUUCAUGAUGACACGCCUCACCUGCACAGCCCCGUUCAUCUGCAAACCCAUGUUGCUUCCAUGAUCAUGUCUGCCCCUGACAACUACAAAUAUUUCCACUCACAAAUUUUCAGAAAAAAAAGUUCCCUCAAAAAACAUUUUUUAAUUUUUAAAAAAAGAUUUAAAAAGGCCGGGUGCAGUGGCUCAUGCCUGUAAUCCCAGCACUUUGGGAGGCCAAGGUGGGCGGAUCACUUGAGGUAAGGAGUUCUAGACCAGCCUGGUCAUCAUGGCGAAACCCCGCCUCUACUAGAAAUAUAAAAAUUGGCUAUAUCAGAUUGACAGUGACAGAUUUUUUAGCAAGAGGUUUCAAGGCCUGUUCC
RNAcentral lists this long non-coding RNA (861 nucleotides) under Homo sapiens (human). RNAcentral's name for it is "HSALNT0039524". The record is from RNAcentral. Lineage: Eukaryota; Metazoa; Chordata; Mammalia; Primates; Hominidae.